Molecule: ribosomal RNA, 253 nt
Filed under: uncultured bacterium
Lineage: Bacteria
Description: partial 16S ribosomal RNA
Rfam family: Bacterial small subunit ribosomal RNA
Source: RNAcentral
UACAGAGGCUGCAAGCGUUAUUCGGAUUCACUGGGCGUAAAGCGCACGUAGGCGGCUUCGCAAGUCGGAUGUGAAAUCCCUCGGCUCAACCGAGGACGUGCAUACGAAACUGCGGAGCUUGAGUGCUGAAGAGGAUCGCGGAAUUCCCGGUGUAGAGGUGAAAUUCGUAGAUAUCGGGAGGAACACCAGUGGCGAAGGCGGCGAUCUGGGCAGAAACUGACGCUGAGGUGCGAAAGCGUGGGGAGCAAACAGG